This 450-nucleotide ribosomal RNA is filed under the name uncultured bacterium. RNAcentral's name for it is "partial 16S ribosomal RNA". It matches the Rfam family "Bacterial small subunit ribosomal RNA", at positions 354 to 796 of the family's 1533-position model. The record is from RNAcentral.
GUGGGGAAUAUUGGACAAUGGGCGAAAGCCUGAUCCAGCCAUGCCGCGUGUGUGAAGAAGGUCUUCGGAUUGUAAAGCACUUUAAGUUGGGAGGAAGGGCAGUAAGUUAAUACCUUGCUGUUUUGACGUUACCGACAGAAUAAGCACCGGCUAACUUCGUGCCAGCAGCCGCGGUAAUACGAAGGGUGCAAGCGUUAAUCGGAAUUACUGUGCGUAAAGCGCGCGUAGGUGGUUUUGUAAGUUGGAGGUGAAAUCCCCGGGCUCAACCUGGGAACUGCCUCCAAAACUGCAUGACUAGAGUACGGUAGAAGGUAGUGGAAUUUCCUGUGUAGCGGUGAAAUGCGUAGAUAUAGGAAGGAACACCAGUGACGACGGCGACCACCUGGACUGAUACUGACACUGAGGUGCGAAAGCGUGGGGAGCAAACAGGAUUAGAAACCCUGGUAGUCC